UUCUGAUAGUGACUGGGCUGCUUGCCCUGAUACUAGGCGAUCUGUUACUGGUUUUUGUGUGCUUUUGGGUGUUGCUGAGUUGACUUGGAUUUCUCUAUCCUCUGUUGAGGCAGAAUACCAAGCCCUUAGCAAGGUUGUUGCUGAGUUGACUUGGAUUUCUCGUUUGUUGGUUGACCAUGGGUUAUCUGUUUCUUCUCCUAUUUCAGUAUAUUGUGAUAGUCAGGCUGCUAUUCAUAUUGCUAACAAUCCUGUUUUUUAUGAACGUACCAAACAUAUCGAGGUGGAUUGCCAUUUUGUUCGGGACUUGCUAUAUCUGGUUUUCUCAAGCUACUUCAUGUGCCUACUUCUUGUCAGCUGGCCGACCUGCUCACUAAGCCCCUGCCUGGCACUUUGCUUCUUCCGCUGCUCACCAAGUUGCAGGUGGUUUCCCCCUCCAACUUGAGGGGGGUGUUGAGAUGACUCAAUACAGUUACGAUAGAGAGUGGGAAGUUAAUGUUAUUUGGAAGGCAGAUUAAAUCUUUUGAAGUACAAAAUUUUAGGGUCAGAACUGCUAGUUAUGUUGAGAUAAGAGAAGCUACAUGAUUUAGCUUUGUAUAGAGACUUGUACAUUUUGUGUAUACUCAGUGUAUAUUUUCGGUAUAUCCAUGGUAUACCUUGUAGUUGGGUUGUCAUUGGGCUAUGAUGAUUUGUGUGUCUGAGCCCACAGGUCAUUAUUUAAUUUUGGGCCGGAUCAACCGACCCGACCCAUCAGUGUGUAAUAUGUAUAUAUUGUAGGUGAG
RNAcentral lists this long non-coding RNA (779 nucleotides) under Nicotiana benthamiana. RNAcentral describes it as "long non-coding RNA (NBEN_LNC038685)". The record is from RNAcentral. Lineage: Eukaryota; Viridiplantae; Streptophyta; Magnoliopsida; Solanales; Solanaceae.